Non-coding RNA from Condylura cristata (star-nosed mole), 377 nucleotides. Lineage: Eukaryota; Metazoa; Chordata; Mammalia; Eulipotyphla; Talpidae. The record is from the annotation of a RefSeq genome assembly.
CCAGUGUGGACAUGAGGGUCCCGGCUCAGCUCCUCAGCCUCCUGCUGCUCUGGCUCCCAGGAGCCAGGGGUGACAUCCAGUUGACCCAGUCCCCACCCUCCGUGUCUGCAUCUCCGGGAGACAGAGUCACCAUGACAUGCCGGUCCAGUUAGAGUGUUGGCAACAGUUUACACUGGUAUCAGCAAAAACCAGGGAAAGUUCCUAAGCUCCUGAUCUAUGGUGCAUCCAAUCUGCACCCCGGGGUCCCAUCGCGCUUCAGAGGCAGCGGGUCUGGGACAGACUUCACGCUCACCAUCAGCAGCCUGGAGCCUGAGGAUGACGCCACUUACUACUGUCAGCAGGGUAAUAGUUUCCCACCCACAGUGACACAGGCCUGA